UAGUGAAUAGAUAAAUAAAUAUAUGAUCGGUCAUACAUACAUAUAUGGCCGACCAGAGCAGAGCUAUAUAGCGAGCGAUCCAUGCAUGCAUCUUGGCAUAGAUUAAGAUUGUGCCGGUGUGUUUGUUUUAAUUAUACAUUAAGCAUGCAUUUGGGAUGUAAAUAUGUAUUGCCUAUUUGCCUUGCAGCGAGCGAGCGCGCGUACGUACGGGAUGUGAUUGCUGCAUGCGCAGCUCUCCAUAUAUACAUGUAUGGAGAGCAUAUAUGUAUGUAUGUAUUCAUGAGUGACAACCAGCUUAAU
Molecule: long non-coding RNA, 300 nt
Filed under: Oryza brachyantha (malo sina)
Lineage: Eukaryota; Viridiplantae; Streptophyta; Magnoliopsida; Poales; Poaceae
Description: long non-coding RNA (OBRA_LNC000989)
Source: RNAcentral